This 332-nucleotide ribosomal RNA is filed under the name uncultured eukaryote. RNAcentral describes it as "partial 18S ribosomal RNA". It matches the Rfam family "Eukaryotic small subunit ribosomal RNA", at positions 1470 to 1796 of the family's 1831-position model. The record is from RNAcentral.
CCCUUAGAUGUCCUGGGCCGCACGCGCGUUACACUGGAAGUUACGGAUUGAGAUACUACCUUGUCCGAAAUGGUCCGGGUAAUCACCUAAAAGCUUGUCAUAAUUGGAAUGGAUUAUUGUAACUAGUAAUCCUGAACGAGGAAUUCCUAGUAAGUCCCAGUCAACAGCUGGUACUGAUUACGUCCCUGCCCUUUGUACACACCGCCCGUCGCUACUACUGAUUGGACGUUUAAGCAAGAUUUUUAAACACUGACAGUGUGUAGUUCACGCUAUACUACAGUGAGAAGAAGAAGAUCGAGCUUACUUGUCUAGAGGAAGUAAAAGUCGUAACA